UUCAUACUAAACAAAACACCAUCUAAGAGGAACACACAAAUAAGAUGAUAACCGACCUCUCUUAAAAGGAACAUUUGCUCUGAUGUCAAUUGUUGGAAAAUUCUCAAACGAAAAAUUUUAUACUAGGUGAAUCAAAAUAUCAGAAGAAGCAAAACAAAUUGAUUGUACAUCCAUAAUCUCAUCAAAAUAUUUUAUUACUCGAUCGGCAAUUUUUACAAUCACAAAAUUGAAAAUCAUCUCAUACAAUUUUUGCACGGACAAAAUUGGAAACCUCUCAACUACAAAUUUUACACGAAAAAUUGCAAAC
RNAcentral lists this long non-coding RNA (307 nucleotides) under Medicago truncatula (barrel medic). RNAcentral describes it as "long non-coding RNA (MTRU_LNC004386)". The record is from RNAcentral. Lineage: Eukaryota; Viridiplantae; Streptophyta; Magnoliopsida; Fabales; Fabaceae.